RNAcentral lists this ribosomal RNA (468 nucleotides) under uncultured bacterium. RNAcentral's name for it is "partial 16S ribosomal RNA". It matches the Rfam family "Bacterial small subunit ribosomal RNA", at positions 28 to 507 of the family's 1533-position model. The record is from RNAcentral.
GAUGAACGCUGGCGGCGUGCUUAACACAUGCAAGUCGAACGGUGAAGGCGGAGCUUGCUCUGCUGGAUCAGUGGCGAACGGGUGAGUAACACGUGAGCAAUCUGCCCCUGACUCUGGGAUAAGCGCUGGAAACGGCGUCUAAUACUGGAUACGAGCUGCGAAGGCAUCUUCAGCAGCUGGAAAGAACUUCGGUCAGGGAUGAGCUCGCGGCGUAUCAGCUUGUUGGUGAGGUAACGGCUCACCAAGGCGUCGACGGGUAGCCGGCCUGAGAGGGUGACCGGCCACACUGGGGCUGAGACACGGCCCAGACUCCUACGGGAGGCAGCAGUGGGGAAUAUUGCACAAUGGGCGAAAGCCUGAUGCAGCAACGCCGCGUGGGGGACGACGGCCUUCGGGUUGUAAACCUCUUUUAGCAGGGAAGAAGCGAAAGUGACGGUACCUGCAGAAAAAGCGCCGGCUAACUACGUG